RNAcentral lists this ribosomal RNA (490 nucleotides) under uncultured bacterium. Its description in RNAcentral is "partial 16S ribosomal RNA". It matches the Rfam family "Bacterial small subunit ribosomal RNA", at positions 28 to 507 of the family's 1533-position model. The record is from RNAcentral.
GAUGAACGCUAGCUACAGGCUUAACACAUGCAAGUCGCGGGGCAGCAUGGGGGUUGCUUGCAAUCCCCGAUGGCGACCGGCGCACGGGUGAGUAACGCGUAUCCAACCUGCCCUUCACCACGGGAUAACCCGGCGAAAGUCGGACUAAUACCGUAUGUUGUCCAUUGACGGCAUCCGAUUUGGACGAAAGGUUUGGCGGUGAAGGAUGGGGAUGCGUCCGAUUAGCUGGACGGCGGGGUGACGGCCCACCGUGGCGACGAUCGGUAGGGGUUCUGAGAGGAAGGUCCCCCACACUGGAACUGAGACACGGUCCAGACUCCUACGGGAGGCAGCAGUGAGGAAUAGUGGUCAAGGGGCGUAAGCCUGAACCAGCCAAGUAGCGUGCAGGAUGACGGCCCUAUGGGUUGUAAACUGCUUUUAUGCGGGGAUAAAGUGGCCCACGUGUGGGUUUUUGCAGGUACCGCAUGAAUAAGGACCGGCUAAUUCCGUG